Molecule: ribosomal RNA, 466 nt
Filed under: uncultured bacterium
Lineage: Bacteria
Description: partial 16S ribosomal RNA
Rfam family: Bacterial small subunit ribosomal RNA
Source: RNAcentral
GACGAACGCUGGCGGCGUGCUUAACGCAUGCAAGUCGAACGGAAAGGCCCUGCUUGCAGGGUACUCGAGUGGCGAACGGGUGAGUAACACGUGGGUGAUCUGCCCUGCACUUCGGGAUAAGCUUGGGAAACUGGGUCUAAUACCGGAUAGGAACCAUCUUUAGUGUGGUGGUUGGAAAGUUUUUUCGGUGUAGGAUGAGCUCGCGGCCUAUCAGCUUGUUGGUGGGGUAAUGGCCUACCAAGGCGGCGACGGGUAGCCGGCCUGAGAGGGUGUACGGCCACAUUGGGACUGAGAUACGGCCCAGACUCCUACGGGAGGCAGCAGUGGGGAAUAUUGCACAAUGGGCGCAAGCCUGAUGCAGCGACGCCGCGUGGGGGAUGAAGGCCUUCGGGUUGUAAACUCCUUUCGCUAGGGACGAAGCUUUGUUGUGACGGUACCUAGAUAAGAAGCACCGGCUAACUACGUG